AUUAAAUAUAAGAGGAGAACAACGACACAAUAUUAAAAUGUAACACACACAGAAACGGACUAAGCAUUAGACAAAAUCCGAUGAGAAUAACAAAUAUAACAUCAAAACCAAAUACAUGAAUUUGGGAUAGAAAAGUACCGUGACACGUCUUAUAGUAAUGUGAAUUCACACUAAAAUAUAAGAGAAAACAAACGACACAACGGAAACACAACGUAAAAAUGUUACACACAUAGAAAUGAACAAUAAUAUAACAAUGGC
This 258-nucleotide long non-coding RNA is filed under the name Mytilus galloprovincialis (Mediterranean mussel). Lineage: Eukaryota; Metazoa; Mollusca; Bivalvia; Mytilida; Mytilidae. The record is from RNAcentral.